UUUUUGCUUUGUGCUUGUAGGUGUGGAGGAAUGUGGAGAGCGGGUCGCUUGCGUGCGGGAGGAGCACGGCAAGGUUUUGCAGGAAGUUGUAGAGAGGUGAAGUUGAGUGCUGACAAGAGCCUGAGCAGGUACUGCGUGGGCCUUUCCCAGGCAUGGCUGAGGAUGUUAGGUGCUGUGGGUGUCCCCCCAAGCACAAUKUUGGAGUUUGGGAUUGGUGYGGUGCAGGUGAKUGGAACGCCCAUGGCGCUUUGGUGGUGGGURCUCUUGCAGACGAGGCUGAAGCUGACUGGCCUGGGGGUGACCACUUGUGCUCUGUUUUGGCAGGUGAUGAAGGUGAAUGUGGUGRCYGGAGGAAGAUCAGAGAGGAUGYGGCUGCCRUUGAGGAUGCCUCUUGCGGGCAGAUGUUGACCCAGAGCACUGCAGAAGCUAAGUUGAGGGGCCAUGUGUGUUGGUGUGCCUUGACUGCGUGUGUGUGCUGACAGUGAGUGUAGAGUGGAGGGCUCUUCUGGAUGAGUGCUGUGUGUGAGGCAGAGGUGGUGGGGUGUGCAUGGCAGAAGGUGAGGGUGUGCUAGGCAGGGCAGCUCCAGCCUCUGUGUGUGGUGUUGUGUAGUCUAUGUGGUGUGUGUUGUAGCUGUGCUAUCUUUUGCUCAGGUCUUGAUGAUGCUCUUGUUCCUCGUGCUCAAGGAGCAUGGCCCACACUGUGCAGCAGUGGUGCGGUAGGCAUCCGUUGUCUUUUGCCUGGCCUGACUCAUCAGCUUUGUGCCAAUGGAUGGCGUCUUGUUCUGUGCAGCCAGCUAAAAGGGGCCGUCUGUCGCUUUGUCUUUGCAUCAUGGCUGUUUGUGGUCGGUCAUCUCUGUGGUCCUCAUCGAGGCCUCGUUGGCCGCUCCUCUUCUGAGGCCGCYCUUGUUUUGCAUCUUCCUGGCCUCCUUUCAGGGUUUUCUUCCCUGYGUUGUCACGUYSUUAGGUCUUUCUUGCCGACCUCUUCUGCAUUGAUCUGCCUGGCUUUGCCGGGCCCUUUCCGUCACGGGCAGUGGCGUUUGRCUCUUUUCUGGGCUCGCCCAGAGCAUCAGAGCCAUGCGGUUGUGGCCUCAUAGGGCUUUCUGGCUGGCAGUGUCUUCUGUAGUGCCAUUUUUCUUGCAGUGUCUGUGUGUAUGUGUCUGUGGUUGGAGCUGCCUUGUUUGUGGGUGUGGUAAUGGUUGUGGCCAGAGC
RNAcentral lists this long non-coding RNA (1209 nucleotides) under Apteryx owenii (little spotted kiwi). RNAcentral describes it as "lncRNA (ENSAOWG00000006191.1)". The record is from RNAcentral. Lineage: Eukaryota; Metazoa; Chordata; Aves; Apterygiformes; Apterygidae.